GUGUAGUAGUUGUGGUAGGUAGGUAUGGUAGUUUUGGUAGGUAGGUGGGGUAGUUGUGGUACAUAUGUGUGGUGGUUGUGCUAGGUAGGUUUGGUGAUGGUAGGUUUUGUAGUUGUGGUGAUGAUAGGUGUGGUAGGUGUGUUAGUUUUGGUAGGUUGGUGUGGUGGUUGUGGUACAUAGGGGCGGUAGUUGUGGUAGGUAGAUGUGGUAGUUGGGAUAAGUAGGUGUGGUAGUUGUGGUAGUUGUGGUGAUUAGGGUUGGGCGGUAUCCAGAUGUUCAUAUUGUCAUACCAUCCUUCUCUCAUACCGGGAUUUACAGUAUUACCGGCAUAGCACAUGAGUGGGUG
Oncorhynchus tshawytscha (Chinook salmon) is the source of this 346-nucleotide long non-coding RNA. Lineage: Eukaryota; Metazoa; Chordata; Actinopteri; Salmoniformes; Salmonidae. The record is from Ensembl.